UACGGGGGGGGCAAGCGUUGUUCGGAAUUACUGGGCGUAAAGGGCUCGUAGGCGGCCAACUAAGUCAGACGUGAAAUCCCUCGGCUUAACCGGGGAACUGCGUCUGAUACUGGUUGGCUUGAGGUUGGGAGAGGGAUGCGGAAUUCCAGGUGUAGCGGUGAAAUGCGUAGAUAUCUGGAGGAACACCGGUGGCGAAGGCGGCAUCCUGGACCAAUUCUGACGCUGAGGAGCGAAAGCCAGGGGAGCAAACGGG
This 253-nucleotide ribosomal RNA is filed under the name uncultured bacterium. RNAcentral's name for it is "partial 16S ribosomal RNA". It matches the Rfam family "Bacterial small subunit ribosomal RNA", at positions 524 to 776 of the family's 1533-position model. The record is from RNAcentral.